Molecule: transfer RNA, 73 nt
Organism: Neurospora crassa OR74A
Lineage: Eukaryota; Fungi; Ascomycota; Sordariomycetes; Sordariales; Sordariaceae
Rfam family: tRNA
About the family: Transfer RNA (tRNA) molecules are approximately 80 nucleotides in length.
Source: Rfam
GCCCGGCUGGCGCAAUCGGUAGCGCGCAAGACUUCUAAUCUUGAGGCUGUGGGUUCGAUUCCCACGUCGGGCU